AUCGCUUCUCGGCCUUUUGGCUAAGAUCAAGUGUAGUAUCUGUUCUUAUCAGUUUAAUAUCUGAUACGCCCCCGACUCGGGGGCAACGUAUUAAACGCAUUUUUAGAACAGGGAGCUGAAUAAGGGGCUCGCCCCGUUCGCUCCACGCAUCGACCUGGUAUUGCAGCGCCUCCGGGAACGGUGCCCCCUUU
RNAcentral lists this small nuclear RNA (191 nucleotides) under Oreochromis niloticus (Nile tilapia). RNAcentral describes it as "U2 spliceosomal RNA (ENSONIG00000028145.1)". It matches the Rfam family "U2 spliceosomal RNA". Rfam says of the family: U2 is a small nuclear RNA (snRNA) component of the spliceosome (involved in pre-mRNA splicing). Complementary binding between U2 snRNA (in an area lying towards the 5' end but 3' to hairpin I) and the branchpoint sequence (BPS) of the intron results the bulging out of an unpaired adenosine, on the BPS, which initiates a nucleophilic attack at the intronic 5' splice site, thus starting the first of two transesterification reactions that mediate splicing. Lineage: Eukaryota; Metazoa; Chordata; Actinopteri; Cichliformes; Cichlidae. The record is from Rfam by way of RNAcentral.